Molecule: ribosomal RNA, 376 nt
Filed under: uncultured bacterium
Lineage: Bacteria
Description: bacterial SSU rRNA
Rfam family: Bacterial small subunit ribosomal RNA
Source: RNAcentral
AACGAACGCUGGCGGCAGGCUUAACACAUGCAAGUCGAACGGGUGUAGCAAUACAUCAGUGGCAGACGGGUGAGUAACACGUGGGAACCUUCCUAGGGGUACGGAACAACUCAGGGAAACUUGAGCUAAUACCGUAUACGUCCGUAAGGAGAAAGAUUCAUCGCCCCUAGACGGGCCCGCGUCGGAUUAGGUAGUUGGUGGGGUAACGGCCUACCAAGCCUACGAUCCGUAGCUGAUCUGAGAGGAUGAUCAGCCACACUGGGACUGAGACACGGCCCAGACUCCUACGGGAGGCAGCAGGUGGGGAAUCUUGGACAAUGGGCGCAAGCCUGAUCCAGCCAUGCCGCGUGAGUGAAGAAGGCCUUAGGGUUGUAAA